Molecule: ribosomal RNA, 243 nt
Filed under: uncultured bacterium
Lineage: Bacteria
Description: partial 16S ribosomal RNA
Rfam family: Bacterial small subunit ribosomal RNA
Source: RNAcentral
CGCGGCGAACGGUCGCGUAACACGUAAGCAACCUGCCCGAAAGACCGGGACAACGUUUCGAAAGGAACGCUAAUACCGGAUGUGACCGUCUGUUUACCUGAGCGGACGAUUAAAGCGCGAAAGUGGCUUUCGGAGGGGCUUGCGGCCUAUCAGCUAGAUGGCGGGGUAACGGCCCACCAUGGCGACGACGGGUAGCUGGUCUGAGAGGAUGGUCAGCCGGACUGGGACUGAGAUACGGUCCAG